UGCAUCGGCCGGGAAUCGAACCCGGGCCGACCGCAUGGCAGGCGAGCAUUCUACAACUGAACCACCGAUGC
This 71-nucleotide transfer RNA is filed under the name Cordylochernes scorpioides. Its description in RNAcentral is "tRNA-Gly". Lineage: Eukaryota; Metazoa; Arthropoda; Arachnida; Pseudoscorpiones; Chernetidae. The record is from RNAcentral.